AUACGGAGGGGGUUAGCGUUGUUCGGAAUUACUGGGCGUAAAGCGCACGUAGGCGGAUUGGAAAGUUGGGGGUGAAAUCCCAGGGCUCAACCCUGGAACUGCCUCCAAAACUAACAGUCUAGAGUUCGAGAGAGGUGAGUGGAAUUCCAAGUGUAGAGGUGAAAUUCGUAGAUAUUUGGAGGAACACCAGUGGCGAAGGCGGCUCACUGGCUCGAUACUGACGCUGAGGUGCGAAAGCGUGGGGAGCAAAAAGGAUUAGAUACCCUAGUAGUCC
This 274-nucleotide ribosomal RNA is filed under the name uncultured bacterium. RNAcentral describes it as "partial 16S ribosomal RNA". It matches the Rfam family "Bacterial small subunit ribosomal RNA", at positions 523 to 796 of the family's 1533-position model. The record is from RNAcentral.